RNAcentral lists this ribosomal RNA (504 nucleotides) under uncultured bacterium. Its description in RNAcentral is "bacterial SSU rRNA". It matches the Rfam family "Bacterial small subunit ribosomal RNA", at positions 19 to 518 of the family's 1533-position model. The record is from RNAcentral.
AUGGCUCAGGAUGAACGCUAGCGGCAGGCUUAACACAUGCAAGUCGAGGGGCAUCGGGAGUAGCAAUACUGCCGGCGACCGGCGCAAGGGUGCGUAACGCGUGAGCAACAUGCCCGUAUCAGGGGGAUAAUCCAUGGAAACGUGGUCUAAUACCCCAUAGUAAUUAUGUAAGGCAUCUUAUAUAAUUUAAAGCUUUGGUGGAUACGGAUUGGCUCGCGUGACAUUAGCUGGAUGGUAAGGUAACGGCUUACCAUGGCUACGAUGUCUAGGGGUUCUGAGAGGAAGGUCCCCCACACUGGAACUGAGACACGGUCCAGACUCCUACGGGAGGCAGCAGUGAGGAAUAUUGGACAAUGGAUGGAAAUCUGAUCCAGCCAUGCCGCGUGCAAGGAAGACGGCCCUAUGGGUUGUAAACUGCUUUUGUAUGGGAGCAAUAAGGGCUACGUGUAGUCCGAUGAGAGUACCAUACGAAUAAGCACCGGCUAACUCCGUGCCAGCCGCCGC